RNAcentral lists this ribosomal RNA (253 nucleotides) under uncultured bacterium. Its description in RNAcentral is "partial 16S ribosomal RNA". It matches the Rfam family "Bacterial small subunit ribosomal RNA", at positions 524 to 776 of the family's 1533-position model. The record is from RNAcentral.
UACGUAGGGCGCAAGCGUUGUCCGGAAUUAUUGGGCGUAAAGAGCUCGUAGGCGGUCUGUCACGUCUGCUGUGAAAACCCGGGGCUUAACCCCGGGCUUGCAGUGGAUACGGGCAGACUAGAGGCAGGUAGGGGAGAAUGGAAUUCCCGGUGUAGCGGUGAAAUGCGCAGAUAUCAGGAGGAACACCGAUGGCGAAGGCAGGUCUCUGGACAGUUCCUGACGCUGAGGCACGAAGGCCAGGGGAGCAAACGGG